AGAGCAAAUGGAAGUAGCUGGACAAACUUACUGGUACCAGUUUCCAAAACCAUUUGGAAGGAGACUUCAGAGGAAGCAGCAGAAAAAAAGGGGGAAAGCAAAAGAAUAAUCAUGUUGUACAACUUGAAAUUCCAGGAAUAUUGUUUUAGAGGAGGAAGAGAGACCUGAGCUAACGCGCUCAGCCUGCCUUGCCACAGGAUGCCCUCCCUGCGCUGCCUCAGGACUCUGCAGAGUCCCCACCAGCAAGAAGGCCCUCACCAGAUGUGGCCCCUGACCUUGGA
This is a long non-coding RNA of Lemur catta (Ring-tailed lemur), 281 nucleotides long. RefSeq lists it as uncharacterized. The record is from RefSeq and is a predicted model, not a curated record. The transcript is spliced from 3 exons. Lineage: Eukaryota; Metazoa; Chordata; Mammalia; Primates; Lemuridae.